RNAcentral lists this ribosomal RNA (336 nucleotides) under Triticum aestivum (bread wheat). Its description in RNAcentral is "partial small subunit ribosomal RNA". The record is from RNAcentral. Lineage: Eukaryota; Viridiplantae; Streptophyta; Magnoliopsida; Poales; Poaceae.
AUGGUUUGGAUGCCUAGAGCUUGCAAUGACAUCAAUGUGCUCCACCGAUCAACACUAUUUGCACUGUUAUCCAAUGAGGAAUCACCACCGGUGGAGUUUCAAGCAGAUGACCACACAUACAAGGGGUACUACCUAGCAGGUGGGAUAUACCUAAAGUGGGCAACCUUUGUGAUGCCAUUUCCCAGCCCCCAAGGUAAGAAACAACUUGGUUUCCAUGUGCUCAAGCAGAUGCUAGGAAGGAUGUGGAGAGGACAUUUGGGAUUUUGCAAGCCCAGUUUGCUAAUUUGCAAGGACCGGCUCGGUUUUUGGAGCAAGAAAUCCUUUAGUACAUCAUGA